RNAcentral lists this long non-coding RNA (4164 nucleotides) under Solanum tuberosum (potato). RNAcentral describes it as "long non-coding RNA (STUB_LNC011058)". Lineage: Eukaryota; Viridiplantae; Streptophyta; Magnoliopsida; Solanales; Solanaceae. The record is from RNAcentral.
UCACUUAUGUUCAAAUCAAAAUGCAACUUUACUGCAUUUCAUUGUUCUUUUAAGUAACGUAAAUAACACUUCAAAAUUAGAAGCUGUCUUACCUCUUUGUAUGCGCCUGUAUCUACGUCUGACGAAGUACAGAACGACUGCAACAAGCCUUGAAUCUGAAUCUCCGCUACAUUAAACGUUAUUCUCCGCAUUCAACUACUACCAAACAACUUGGGAAAUUCAAAGAAUCAAUUGAAGGUAUACUUAAUCUUCAAAUGUUACCAUAUGUACAACUGUUAUAUUCAGCUUUCCUGUCUGCUGCACAUGUAGCAAUACAGAUGACAUUUAACAGAGAUUUUCAUUCUGUAAAGACUGCCUGAGAUUUAGCACAGAUGUUUUUCAUCAAGAUCUCCAUCAGCACCAAAACCUUUAAUGUUUACUUAUACAAUAUCAUUAUCCUCCACUUCCAAAGCUUGUACCAUUUUUCCGAUCACUCACAUAUUCAUGGCACCAUUUGUAGCAACUUCUUCCUCCUGAAUUGAUACUCUACUUUCCCACUCUUUCAACUUUUCCAAAUACAACUUCAAUUUUGCCUCAACUUUAGCUUUUUCAUUUUUUAACUCCUCAUUUUUCUUCUGCAUAUCCUUUAAUGAAUUCUCCAUUGGUUAAAGGAUCUGCAAAAGAAAAAUGAGAAGCUAAAAAAUGAAGAAGCUAAAGUUCGCGCAAAACUUAAGAUAUAUUUGAAAAAAUUCAAAGAGUGGGAAAGUAGAGUAUCAAUUCAGCAGGAAGAAGCUGCUAGAAAUUGUACAACAAAAUACUAAAGCUUUUGUUGCUCAUGGAGAUCUUCAACAAAACCAAUUGUCACCACCUAGGUCUCCAUUAGUUCACUCAACUGCAAAUGGAAAUGCAACUGGAAGUGAUAAAUGAACACAUGAAGGUAUUAUUAUGCUUAUAUCUGUCUUGUAGACCUUUGCUUUUGAGUUAUGCACUCAAUUUUUGUAUGCUUUUCAACUUUGGUUAGGAACUUACAAUUAUUCAGUGAUGCUUUUUGUGGUAUCGUUAAGCUGCCAUAAUGAUAUUGCACAACAAAAUAGUAAAGCUUUUGCUGCUCAUGAAGAUCUUCAACAAAACCAAGUGUCACCACAUAUGCCUCCAUUAGUUCACUCAACUGCAAAUGGAAAUGCAAAUGGAAGUGAUAAAUGAACACAUGAAGGUAUUAUUAUGCUUAUAUCUAUCUUGUUGACCUUUGGUUUUGAGUUAUCCACUCAAUUUCUGUAUGGUUUUCAACUUUGGUUAGGAACUUACAAUUAUUCAGUGAUGCUUUUUGUGCUAUCGUUAAGCUUUAGUUAUGUAGCCAUGUAUCUUCUAAUAUUUGCUUACCUUUGGACCUAAACCUAACUCCUAACUAUUUAUAUGGAACUGCAAAUGUGCUACACACUGACUAUAACUGCAGGCAGAGGUAACACGGACUUCAUUUAUACAAAAAUGAAUCGGGUUAAUUGUCCUGAUGUUUGGACAUUACAUCCCAUGCCUUAUGCUGGUACUUCUGCUUCACUCAAUACCAAUGUUUCCAACAUACAAAAGAAAAGCCGCCAUUCAGAGCUACCAGGUACAGAUAAUUUAUCACGCUUAUUCUUACAUUUCCUUUGUUACCUCUCACAUUCAACCCACAUCUGAAGUUAGCACUAAUGAUUUACUCAAUUUCUAAAUGUUUUUACAUCCAUUGUUCAACAUAUAUUGCAAAUGAAGAAAAUCUAAAUUAUAUUUUUUUUGUUAUACCAAUAGAGCAGUAGUAAUCUGUCUGUCGUUGUCAACUUACUAUUUCGGCUACCAUAUUAACCACAUGACACAGGAUUUGAUGUGUCUGUCUGUCUAUGUAUAUAUAUAUAUACAUAUAUUAUCUAUAUAUAGAUACAUAUAUUAUCUAUAUAUAUAGAGAGAGAGAGAAAGAGAGAAAGAGAAAGAGAGAGAGUAUAUAUAUAUACAUACAUAUAUAAACAAAUAGAUAAAUACAGAAAUUCUUUUUAUCCUUAUUUAGAAACAACAAUUAAAGUACAACUGUCUUCAUACAAAUUCAUCAAGUUUGGUUUGCCACUGAAAUUACUUCCUCCUAUUCAUUUUUCCUUCCUUACGUUUUCUUUUGAUUCUUAGCUUCCCUAUCACAAACUGUAUGUUAUUUUUCUAUAUAUGCAUGUUUCAGAAUGUAAAUAAAUAUGUGUAUAACUUUGCUGUGUAGAGUGCAUCUGUCACCAUUUUUGCCAAUUGUGCACCAGUACUGAAAUGGCCAAUAAUACCAGCCACAACUCUCACUGCAAAUAUACUAACAUCAAAAUUCGUGAGUUUCCUGUCUUUCUUUUGUACUCAAUAUAUGUAAUUAUAUGAAUGAUCUUUAGUCUUUCUCAUAAUGCUGCAAUUUCUGGUUUUUCUCCUUUAAACAUUCCAACUUCCCUUUUUUCCUUCAUAUGUGGUUCAAAAUUUGGUACCACUUUUCAACUACUCUCUCUUAAUUUGUUUGUUUCUCAAAUUUGCUGAGUUUUCCUGAUUAUAUUGUUUUAUACUUUCUAUAACCUUAGUGAAAAUCCUGUCUCCAUCAUUGAAUUUGAAAUUUGACUUUUCUUUCACAUCUCAUUUUCCUUUACCCUAUGUUCUGAGACAACUUAUAUAUGUUUCUGUCACACUUCUAACCAAUUUUCACUCAUACAUGUAAUGCCUUAAACAAACACCUUUUAUUGGUGAUAAUGAUUCUAACAUUUGCUUUUGUUAAGUUAACUUUCUUCAACACUAUUUUUACAUUUAUCGUCAAUAUUUGAACAAUUCUGCACAUUUUAUUCAUUUUACUGUCUGUAGCCAUUUAUACAUUUCGGAACCAUGUAUCUAAGAACACAACAAGUUUUGACAUUACUGUCAACCUGGUACCUAUAUUUUCUUCAUUCUUCAACAACUUACAUCACCCAUACAUCACCAAUGUCAACUGCUGCUGUCAGUUAUUUCUAAAACAUUUUCUCUCUAAAACUUUUUCCAUUUCUCCUAAUAAUCUUACACAGGCACAACAGUGGAACUGUACUGCUGAACUUCUUACUAAUCCUCAGUUUAAUGGGACACAACCACUUCGCAAAUCUACCUCCAUGAAAACUACAGCUGGGCCAUAUAAUUCUUCUAAACAUUACAAUCCACUUAGCCAUCUAAGAAGUCAACUAAUAUGACAAGACAGCAAGAUCAAUGCCAAUUGAGAGAAAGAACUGCUAGGUUAGAUCCUUCAAAUUAAUUGAGCCUUUUUUAAAAUCCAAAUGUUCAUCAUUAUAAGUGUUAAUCUGCAUUUUAUGAUACUUCAUAACGUAAUGAAUACUUUAGGCAGAAAUACUUCAAUAGACACAUUCAUUGCUAUCGUACAAGCAUUGCACUUUCAUCAACUGCACUGUCUUAUGCCAAUAGAGUCAUCACCUAUCUUCAAAUCAAAAUGCAAGUUUACUGCAUUUCAUUGUUCUUUUAAGUAACAUAAAUAAGACUUCAGAAUUAGAAGUUGUCUUACCUCUUUCUAUGCACGUGUAUCUAGGUCUAACGAAGUACACAACAACUGCAACAAGCCUUGAAUCUGAAUCUCUGCUACAUUAAACGUUAUUCUUCGCAUUGAACUGCUACCAAACAUCUUGGGAAAUUCAAACAAUCAAUUGAAGGUAUAGUUAAUCUUCAAAUGUUACCAUAUGUACAACUGUUAUAUUCAGCUUUCCCCUCUGAUGCACAUGUAGCAAUACAAAUGACAUUUAACAGACAUUUUCAUUCUGUAAAGACUGCCUGAAAUUUAGUGCAGAUGCUUUUCAUGCAGAUCUCCAUCAACACCAAAACCUUUAAUAUUUACUUGUAGAAUAUCAUUAUCCUCUGCUUCCAAAGCUUGUACCAUUUCUUCACAUCAGUCAUGCAUUCACGGCACCAUUUGUAGCAGCUUCUUCCGCCUGAAUUGAUACUCUACUUUCCAACUGUUUCAACUUUUCCAAAUACAACUUCAAUUUUGCCUCAACUUCAGCUUUUUCAUUUUUUAGCUCCUCAUUUUUCUUCUGCAUAGCCUUCAAUCAAUUCUCCAUUGGUUAAAGGAUGUGGAAAAGAAAAAUGAGAAUCUAAAUAAUGAAGAAGCUAAAGUUCACGCAAAACUAAAGAUGUAUUUGGAAAACUUGAAAGAGUGGGAAAGUA